This 755-nucleotide ribosomal RNA is filed under the name uncultured bacterium. RNAcentral's name for it is "bacterial SSU rRNA". It matches the Rfam family "Bacterial small subunit ribosomal RNA", at positions 9 to 763 of the family's 1533-position model. The record is from RNAcentral.
GAGUUUGAUCCUGGCUCAGGACGAACGCUGGCGGCGUGCCUAACACAUGCAAGUCGAGCGAUGAAAAUUGGAGCGUUCCCUUCGGGGAACAAUCUGAUUGGAUUAGCGGCGGACGGGUGAGUAACACGUGAGUAACCUGCCGUACACAUUGGGAUAGCCUCGGGAAACUGGGAUUAAUACCAAAUGAAACAUACAGAUAGCAUUAUCUAAAUGUCAAAGAUUUUAUCGGUGUACGAUGGACUCGCGUCUGAUUAGCUAGUUGGUAAGGUAACGGCUUACCAAGGCGAUGAUCAGUAGCCGGCCUGAGAGGGUGAUCGGCCACAUUGGGACUGAGACACGGCCCAAACUCCUACGGGAGGCAGCAGUGGGGAAUAUUGCACAAUGGAGGAAACUCUGAUGCAGCGACGCCGCGUGAGCGAAGAAGGGAUUCGUCUCGUAAAGCUCUGUCCUAUGGGAAGAUAAUGACGGUACCAUAGAAGAAAGCCCCGGCUAACUACGUGCCAGCAGCCGCGGUAAUACGUAGGGGGCUAGCGUUGUCCGGAAUCAUUGGGCGUAAAGGGUUCGUAGGCGGUAAUACAUGUCAGAUGUGAAAUCUUGUGGCUUAACCACAUCAAGCAUCUGAAACUGUAUAACUUGAGUGAAGGAGAGGUAAGUGGAAUUCCUAGUGUAGCGGUGAAAUGCGUAGAUAUUAGGAAGAAUACCAGUAGCGAAGGCGACUUACUGGCCUUUAACUGACGCUGAGGAACGAAAGCGUG